CCUACGGGUGGCAGCAGUGGGGAAUAUUGGGCAAUGGGCGCAAGCCUGACCCAGCAACGCCGCGUGAAGGAAGAAGGCCCUCGGGUUGUAAACUUCUUUUGUCAGGGACGAAACAAAUGACGGUACCUGAUGAAUAAGCCACGGCUAACUACGUGGCAGCCGCCGAGGGAAUACGUCGGUGGCAAGCGUUAUCCGGAUUUACUGGGGGUAAAGGGCGUGUAGGCGGGAGAGCAAGUCAGAUGUGAAAUUCCAGGGCUCAACCCGGGAACUGCAUUGGAAACUGUUUUUCUUGAGUGAUGGAGAGGCAGGCGGAAUUCCGUGUGUAGCGGUGAAAUGCGUAGAUAUACGGAGGAACACCAGUGGCGAAGGCGGCCUGCUGGACAUUAACUGACGCUGAGGCGCGAAAGCGUGGGGAGCAAACAGGAUUAGAUACCCCUGUAGUC
RNAcentral lists this ribosomal RNA (443 nucleotides) under uncultured bacterium. RNAcentral's name for it is "partial 16S ribosomal RNA". It matches the Rfam family "Bacterial small subunit ribosomal RNA", at positions 338 to 795 of the family's 1533-position model. The record is from RNAcentral.